Molecule: unclassified non-coding RNA, 283 nt
Filed under: Pholiota virescens
Lineage: Eukaryota; Fungi; Basidiomycota; Agaricomycetes; Agaricales; Strophariaceae
Description: partial internal transcribed spacer region
Rfam family: Eukaryotic small subunit ribosomal RNA (bases 1-46)
Source: RNAcentral
AAGUCGUAACAAGGUUUCCGUAGGUGAACCUGCGGAAGGAUCAUUAUUGAAUAAACUUGGUGUGGUUGUUGCUGGUCCUUUCGGGGGCAUGUGCACACCCAUCAUCUUUAACUUUCCACCUGUGCACAUUUUGUAGGUCAAAAAUUUUUCCCGAGACACGCGUUUCGUGGAAUAGGUUUUUGCCUAUGUUUUCAUAUACGCCAUAAGAAUGUAACAGAAUGUAUCAAUGGGCUUCAUGCCUAUAAACUAUAUACAACUUUCAGCAACGGAUCUCUUGGCUCUC